GCCAUCUUGCAGGCCUGAUUCUCCCCAAAAGAGACUGCAGUCAGUUGCUCAUCUCUCAAAUUCUGAUGGUAGAAAAACGCUCAGUGAUCUAGACCCAUUCAGGUUCCCCAUCUACCUCGUGAACAUGAUCGAACUGAUUUCUCUUCAUGGAGGUACACCAGCUUCGUUCUGCAAGUUAACCAGUGAAUGCUGAUCAUUAUUCUUGGUUUCCAUGUGAAACCAGAGGGGAAGCACGAGCUUCUAUCUGCAAAUGGGUUUCUUCCCUAUUCUGGGACAUUACAACUGUAGGAUCAUUUCGUUUUUGGCUUGGCAUAAGAACCAG
Molecule: long non-coding RNA, 322 nt
Filed under: Spirodela polyrhiza (greater duckweed)
Lineage: Eukaryota; Viridiplantae; Streptophyta; Magnoliopsida; Alismatales; Araceae
Description: long non-coding RNA (SPOL_LNC001200)
Source: RNAcentral